Molecule: non-coding RNA, 27 nt
Filed under: Homo sapiens (human)
Lineage: Eukaryota; Metazoa; Chordata; Mammalia; Primates; Hominidae
Source: RNAcentral
UGGUCAGGGGAUAAGUACGUCUGUGGA